RNAcentral lists this ribosomal RNA (446 nucleotides) under uncultured bacterium. RNAcentral's name for it is "bacterial SSU rRNA". It matches the Rfam family "Bacterial small subunit ribosomal RNA", at positions 330 to 792 of the family's 1533-position model. The record is from RNAcentral.
UCCAGACUCCUACGGGAGGCAGCAGUCGGGAAUAUUGCACAAUGGAGGAAACUCUGAUGCAGUGACACCGCGUAUAGGAAGAAGGUUUUCGGAUUGUAAACUAUUUUAGACAGGGAAGAAAAAAGACAGUACCUGUAGAAUAAGCUCCGGCUAACUACGUGCCAGCAGCCGCGGUAAUACGUAGGGAGCAAGCGUUAUCCGGAAUUAUUGGGUGUAAAGAGUUCGUAGGCGGUAUGUUAAGUCUGGUGCUAAAUGCAGAAGCUCAACUUCUGUUCGGCACUGGAUACUGGCAAACUAGAAUGCGGUAGAGGUAAAGGGAAUUCCUGGUGUAGCGGUGAAAUGCUUAGAUAUCAGGAGGAACAUCGGUGGCGUAAGCGCUUUACUGGGCCGUAAUUGACGCUGAGGAACGAAAGCCAGGGUAGCAAAUGGGAUUAGAUACCCCAGUA